Molecule: ribosomal RNA, 499 nt
Filed under: Phoma sp. Po47
Lineage: Eukaryota; Fungi; Ascomycota; Dothideomycetes; Pleosporales; Didymellaceae
Description: eukaryotic LSU rRNA
Rfam family: 5.8S ribosomal RNA (bases 148-301)
Source: RNAcentral
AGAUCAUACCUAGAGUUGCGGGCUUUGCCUGCUAUCUCUUACCCAUGUCUUUUGAGUACCUUCGUUUCCUCGGCGGGUUCGCCCGCCGAUUGGACAAUUUAAACCAUUUGCAGUUGCAAUCAGCGUCUGAAAAAACUUAAUAGUUACAACUUUCAACAACGGAUCUCUUGGUUCUGGCAUCGAUGAAGAACGCAGCGAAAUGCGAUAAGUAGUGUGAAUUGCAGAAUUCAGUGAAUCAUCGAAUCUUUGAACGCACAUUGCGCCCCUUGGUAUUCCAUGGGGCAUGCCUGUUCGAGCGUCAUUUGUACCUUCAAGCUCUGCUUGGUGUUGGGUGUUUGUCUCGCCUCUGCGCGCAGACUCGCCUCAAAACAAUUGGCAGCCGGCGUAUUGAUUUCGGAGCGCAGUACAUCUCGCGCUUUGCACUCAUAACGACGACGUCCAAAAGUACAUUUUUACACUCUUGACCUCGGAUCAGGUAGGGAUACCCGCUGAACUAAGC